CUCGCCCAAUUUCGCACGUGCCUGUGGUUGCGUGCCGGUUGGUGGGCAUCCGGACAAGAGGCCGGACAGCCGCCCGAAGGCUUGGGGAUGCAGCGCCGGUUUUCCGGCUCGCAUUCCAGGGGCGCCGCAAGGCGCGGGGCCUUCGAUACCUAACCGGCAGCCGGAGGCAAACCGGCGAACUCUGCCCUCCGCAGAGGACGCGACUUGAAGCAACGACGAUCGGGCUUUUUUGGUCUCAGCCGGUGUCCAGAGCCGGCGACUGAAGAGGCUUGUUCUUCUUGCCGGCCGUGCGGUUCGGGGUCUCCCCAAGCCAAGCGAAGGCGUCUUUGUUCAAACGCAUCGGCCGAUCGCGGCAGAUGCGUCGAAAGGCGUCUCGGCGAACGU
RNAcentral lists this unclassified non-coding RNA (384 nucleotides) under bacterium YEK0313. RNAcentral's name for it is "speF". The stretch from base 4 to 229 matches the Rfam family "Alphaproteobacterial sRNA ar45". The record is from RNAcentral.